CAAUAGCGUAUAUUAAAGUUGUUGCAGUUAAAACGCUCGUAGUCGGAUUUCGGGGCGGGUCCGCCGGUCUGCCGAUGGGUACGCACUGGCGGGCGCGUCCUUCCUUCCGGAGACUGGCCCUACUCUUAGCUGAGCGGGGUCGGGAGUCGGAUCGUUUACUUUGAAAAAAUCAGAGUGUUUCAAGCAGGCAGCUUGCUCUUGCAUAGAUUAGCAUGGGAUAAUGAAAUAGGACUUUGGUGCUAUUUUGUUGGUUUCGAACACCGAAGUAAUGAUUAACAGGGACAGUCAGGGGCACUCGUAUUCCGCCGAGAGAGGUGAAAUUCUCAGACCAGCGGAAGACGAACCACUGCGAAAGCAUUUGCCAGGGAUGUUUUCACUGA
This 380-nucleotide ribosomal RNA is filed under the name uncultured eukaryote. Its description in RNAcentral is "partial 18S ribosomal RNA". It matches the Rfam family "Eukaryotic small subunit ribosomal RNA", at positions 592 to 976 of the family's 1831-position model. The record is from RNAcentral.